UACGAAGGGGGCUAGCGUUGUUCGGAAUUACUGGGCGUAAAGCGCGUGUAGGCGGCUGUCCAAGUUGGAUGUGAAAGCCUUGAGCUUAACUCAAGAAAUGCAUUCAGGACUGGAUGACUAGAGGACCGGAGAGGAUAGUGGAAUUCCCAGUGUAGUGGUGAAAUACGUAGAGAUUGGGAAGAACACCAGUGGCGAAGGCGGCUAUCUGGACGGUUUCUGACGCUAAGACGCGAAAGCGUGGGGAGCAAACAGG
RNAcentral lists this ribosomal RNA (253 nucleotides) under uncultured bacterium. Its description in RNAcentral is "partial 16S ribosomal RNA". It matches the Rfam family "Bacterial small subunit ribosomal RNA", at positions 524 to 776 of the family's 1533-position model. The record is from RNAcentral.